GACGAACGCUGGCGGCGUGCUUAACACAUGCAAGUCGAACGGUGAAGCGCUUGCCUUUUUGGUGGGUGUGGAUGAGUGGCGAACGGGUGAGUAACACGUGAGUAACCUGCCCUCUUCUUCUGGAUAACCUCAUGAAAGUGGGGCUAAUACGGGGUAUUCCGGGUCUGUCGCAUGGCGGGUUUGGGAAAGAUUGCGCCUUUGGGUGUUUUCGGUGGGGGAUGGGCUCGCGGCCUAUCAGCUUGUUGGUGGGGUGAUGGCCUACCAAGGCGGUGACGGGUAGCCGGCCUGAGAGGGUGGACGGCCACACUGGGACUGAGACACGGCCCAGACGCCUGCGGGAGGCAGCAGUGGGGAAUAUUGCACAAGGGGCGCAAGCCUGAUGCAGCGACGCCGCGUGAGGGAUGGAGGCCGUCGGGUUGGGAACCUCUUUCGCCAGUGAAGCAGGCCUGCUCCUGUGUGGGUGGGUUGACGGUAGCUGGAGAAGAAGCGCCGGCUAACUACGUG
This 504-nucleotide ribosomal RNA is filed under the name uncultured bacterium. RNAcentral's name for it is "partial 16S ribosomal RNA". It matches the Rfam family "Bacterial small subunit ribosomal RNA", at positions 28 to 507 of the family's 1533-position model. The record is from RNAcentral.